AGAAGGAGGAAGAAAACCUCGGAGCAGCCCCAGAGCCGGCAGCGCAGAGCCGCGGUCAUGGGCAGCCACCCCGGCGUGCUGCUGGCGCUCGCCCUCUGCGCCCUGCUGGAAGCCGGUCUGGGCCAGCCCCCGGCCGAGUCGCACCUGGCCGCGCCGCCGAGGAGCAAGCGAUGUUCCUGCAACAGCUGGCUGGAUAAGGAAUGCAUCUACUUCUGUCACCUGGACAUCAUCUGGGUCAACACACCUGGGCACACCGCUCCCUACGGCUUGGGCAGCCCGCCAAGGCGGCGCAAGAGGUCGGCGGGCAGGUGCGAGUGCUCGCACUCCAGGGACAGCAUCUGUGCCACCUUCUGCCAGGGCAGGCCUGGGUACCUCCAGAGUCUGAAGCUCCCCGUGAGCUCUGGAGCAUCAGCGAGGUCUCUGCAGAACGGUGCCACGAGGCCUCCCCACCAUGGGCUGCUGAGAGCUCUCAGGGAGCUCGGGGUGUCCAGCCCGCGCCAGCAGCGCUCCCGGAGGGACGCGCAGCCACCAGCUCUGCCCUGGGAGAGAAACAUCUGGAAGAAGAAGAGAUAAGAGACAGGUGCACACCAAGUUCACCAGAAGAGUUUGGAGUCCUGUGGGUGCCACCAGCUCCGCUGUCGGUUUUAGAGCUGAAGGGAAGGCUGAGAGUGGAAGGGGAGGAAGUGGAAGUCUCCGUGUUCCUGCUGCAUGAACCAGCACUCGAGGGACUGCUGGAAAGGGAAAAACUCUCUCUCCACACAGUCAGAGGAGCGUCCUGGAGCUGAACUGUGCCUUUCUGGAUCAGGCAAGGGUCGUGCUGGGGCGGCAGCAGCCGGACUCUGCCCCGCAGCCCCCCGGCAGGGCUCAGCCCAGGCGCGGGGGGGAACCACAGCCGGGGCUCUGGGCAGCGCCGAGCCCCUCGCUGGCUGAGCCCAGCCUGGCCCCACUCGGAGGGUUUGGCUGCUCACUGCUCAGGGAUGAGCUGCCUCCAGCCCAGACCCACCUUUGCACUAUUUUCUCUCGUCAGUCAGUGCCUAUGAGCGAGGCUCCUGCGGUGGAACAGCUCCCAGUUUGUAUGAAAAGUUUAUUUCAUCUCAGCAGGAGCCAGCUGAGCAGGCAGGGGCUGUCACUGGCUGAGCAGUCACUGGGAUGGAUUCCCACUGAGGCCCUGGCUGUAGCAGAGGUGCAGGAUCAGUUACCCCAGGGAUGGCACCAAACCCAGCUGGUGUGGGGCUGGGUUUGUGCAGGAGCCCCCAUAGCCAGGGGAGGGUGAGCAGAGCCCUGCUCCGGACCAGUGACCCCAUCUCCUCUCCCUGGACCAAUCCUUAGUGAGGACUUCCAGCUCCUGAAUAAUCCAUCUUCCUCCCAGCUCUGCCUGGAGGGAGGGGCUGGGGCAGAGAGGGCACACAAAGCCUGGCUUAGGUCAGCUCUGAGUCGGGCUCUGGACAGUAAGUGACCACUCAGGUCCCUGUGGGAAGGGAAGCCCGGGUGGGGAAUGCAUGAGGUGAGGGGCAGCCAGGUGUGGUGUGGAGGGAAGGACUGGUCAGAACACGGGGUGGAACUGGAUCAUCUUUGAGGUCCCUUCCAACCCAACCCCCUGUGAUUCUGUACAGCCCUGUCUGAGCUUUAAACCUGUCUGGCUCAGAUUUAAACCCAGAUCUGCUGGCCCAGGGGAGAGAGGGAAAAAUCUGGGGAAAAACACUGAGCCCAGGGUGGGCCUAGAACCCAAGCCUGAGGCAAAGGGCUCCAGAGCUGUCACAAAUGCACUUUUGUUUGCUGGGCAGGCUGAGCUGAGCCCAGGGCUGUCCCUGGGCAGGGCAGGGGCUGCUCUCCACUCCUGGGUCCCUCUGCUGCCCACGCCAGGAUUGCACAGGAGCUUUGGAAAGGCUGCUUGAAGUUGGUGGUGGACCAAAACCUGUGGCUGUUGCAAGUAUAGUCCCGAUGGACAAGAAAAAUAAUUCCUUGAUUUUGCUUUAAGCCCUGGAAAGGGGAAGAACAAGACCAAUUGAUUGUAUUGUGAAUGAAACAGCAGAUGAAUCAUUUGGUCCCCGAAGCUGCAGAGAAUCUUUUUAUCUUUGACCUUCUGAAGGUUGGAGUCACUCUAAAAAACCAAAAGAAGAAAAUCCUGAAAGGGUUUGUUCCAGAGGAAAUUUUGCACAUGGUUUAAUGUGAGUAAUUUAAAAUAAAACUACUGCUGUAAAGUACUCUGUCAAUCUCAUGUGUGUGUAAUGUCCCAUCCUUAAGUGACUCAUUGCACACCUGCCAUAUGUAGCAUCCUGAA
Molecule: RNA transcript, 2281 nt
Organism: Ficedula albicollis (Collared flycatcher)
Lineage: Eukaryota; Metazoa; Chordata; Aves; Passeriformes; Muscicapidae
Gene: EDN2
Gene name: endothelin 2
Exons: 6
Source: RefSeq, a predicted model, not a curated record